RNAcentral lists this transfer RNA (85 nucleotides) under Parapontixanthobacter aurantiacus. RNAcentral describes it as "Altererythrobacter aurantiacus tRNA-Leu". It matches the Rfam family "tRNA". From Rfam's summary of the family: Transfer RNA (tRNA) molecules are approximately 80 nucleotides in length. Their secondary structure includes four short double-helical elements and three loops (D, anti-codon, and T loops). RNAcentral also lists the same sequence under 1 other name. Lineage: Bacteria; Pseudomonadati; Pseudomonadota; Alphaproteobacteria; Sphingomonadales; Erythrobacteraceae. The record is from RNAcentral.
GCGGGCGUGGCGGAAUUGGUAGACGCGCUGGUUUUAGGUACCAGUAUCUAACGAUGUGGGGGUUCGAGUCCCUUCGCCCGCACCA